This 1934-nucleotide long non-coding RNA is filed under the name Anas platyrhynchos platyrhynchos (common mallard). RNAcentral's name for it is "lncRNA (ENSAPLG00000020380.1)". Lineage: Eukaryota; Metazoa; Chordata; Aves; Anseriformes; Anatidae. The record is from RNAcentral.
GGUAGCUACCCUGUUAGUCAAAAUUAAUGGCAGUAUGAACAAACUGUAUCUUGCAUUAGCAUGGAUGCGUUAUCACGUGUCUUUGUGGGAAGAUGGAAGUAGUGGUGCUAGGGGUACAUCCGCUUUUGUGACACUGAUGCAUUGAGGGUGGAAAUCAAAUAGGAAUAAAUGUUGUGUUUAGGAUGGAGGUUGCAGAAGUUUUGUCUCAAAUCAGUUUCUGAUUCCUGGCUGUGUGUCAUAUAAAGAAGUGCCUUUGGGGAGGAUUGAUGAGCAAUCCCAUCUGAAGUUACGAGUUUGUUUUAAAAUAUAAUAGAAUGCAUGAAUUGAUUGGAGAAACAAAAAGAGUUCUUCAGGACUAGAAGUGCUGAAUGAUUAUUUUAAUGACUACAUACAUAUGUGAGGAGAAAAGAAAGAUGUCACCAGUAGAGAGGAAUGCAGAAAAGAUGCAUCAUUUCUUCUUUCCGUUUUUAUUCAAGGAAAAAGUGAUUAAUGGAACAUGAAGAAACGGGUUGCUUGGUGUGAGUGAAAUGACUGAAUCCAGCUUUCUGUUUCUUGACUUGUGUGCAAGACAGAAUAAAACUCAGACAGCAGAUGUGUAAUGGGCUUCCCUUCAAAUACCUGACCAUUCUUGGAUCUGUUGGAAUGUGCUAUUUGUUGUGGGCUAUGGGGCAGGAGGUGGGGAGAACAAGAUGGAAGAGUUGGACUCAGUCCAGUCCACGAUGGGUGGAUAGUGACACUGUCAUGUGUGCCCCUCUGACGGUGAAGUGAAAGCAGUUUGAGUACCAUAUAAAGGACAAGUAAAGAUGAAACUUCAGAGCCUGCCUGAACAGUUGGAUCACGUCCACAUCUCCAAGUGUCCCAGAAGUCCAGGAAAACCUCUCAGACCUUUAUUGCUUGAUUUUGUAGCCCAGUAAAUACGGUUAUAUUUGCUGCUGCUUGAGGCAGGCAGCAGUCUGUCACAUGUCUCAGGAAAUGUGUAAAGAAUGGGAAAUGUAUAAAGGGAACAUAUAAAAAGCAAUGCAAGUGGACCUGGGAACUGAGGAGGAAGAAACCUUAGCACCAGUGUCACAUCCCUCCUAGGGUGACCUUGGAAUACUAAUAGCUCACUUCAAUACCCCCAAGCUUCAUCACUCUGAGGGGCUUCAAAAGGGUAGACAUAACAUUAAAAGAAAGGAAUAAGUUUUCCUAAAUUUUCUUGUAGAAAAAUGUAAAAGACAUUACUAGUUAUACUUUGCUUUGUAAUUUUGUUUUGGUUUGCUUUCAUCUGCAGCUCCAUGAGUUUUUCACUGUGCAACAUUCCUGUUUAGUUUUGACAGGUUUGUUAGCCCCAAACUGUUCUUUCUAAUUCUGUACCUCAUGCUAAUGUCUGAGUAGUUUCUUCUUUUCCUCAAGUCAUUUUGGAGAGCAGAAGCUUGCUGAUCAGCACUUUACAUCAACUGAAAUUUCCAACAUUUAGCAACAAAACUGCGAAACCUUAUAUGACAUACAAUGAGAUUGCCAGCUUAGACUUCUUAAUUCAGAGCUUGAAUAGUUUGCACAGCCAUUUUCCCCUUCCCAUUAUUUUCCAGCUCUUCUUUUCAUUUUUAGUUCAUAGCACGACUGCACAGUAGCAGAUUUCACUUACAUGCUGGUGUACUGCCAAGGGCAGAGAGCGAGAGAAGAAAGAAAGUGCUUUCUUGGAUUUAGUUUUCCCCCCCAAGGGAAGUAACAGACCAGGCUUGGCCAGCAUAGCUAUUUCUAUAAACUACAGCUUUCUGUACAGUUGUGUAUGCAAGGAAAGUUAUAUUUUCAAAUAAUUUUAUUAAUUUUUCAUACUUUUUUCCUUCACGUAUUUAACAGACAAAUAAGAUAUUCCAUGAAUAACAGUUUUAAAAUGACUGCAGAGUCAAUUUUUGAUUAAUAAAUGUAAUCUCUAGAAAGAUUCUAAGGUAUCU